Molecule: ribosomal RNA, 444 nt
Filed under: uncultured Rhodospirillales bacterium
Lineage: Bacteria; Pseudomonadati; Pseudomonadota; Alphaproteobacteria; Rhodospirillales
Description: bacterial SSU rRNA
Rfam family: Bacterial small subunit ribosomal RNA
Source: RNAcentral
UGGUUCAAUUCGACGCAACGCGCAGAACCUUACCAGCCCUUGACAUGUGACUCGCCGGCUCCAGAGACGGAGCCUUCGGUUCGGCCGGAGUCAGCACAGGUGCUGCAUGGCUGUCGUCAGCUCGUGUCGUGAGAUGUUGGGUUAAGUCCCGCAACGAGCGCAACCCUCGUCUCCAGUUGCCAUCAGGUUAUGCUGGGCACUUUGGAGAAACUGCCGGUGACAAGCCGGAGGAAGGUGGGGAUGACGUCAAGUCCUCAUGGCCCUUACGGGCUGGGCUACACACGUGCUACAAUGGCGGUGACAGUGGGAUGCGAAGGGGCGACCCGGAGCCGAUCCCCAAAAGCCGUCCCAGUUCGGAUUGCACUCUGCAACUCGAGUGCAUGAAGUUGGAAUCGCUAGUAAUCGCGGAUCAGCAUGCCCGCGGUCGAAUACGUUCCGGGCCUU